This 21-nucleotide non-coding RNA is filed under the name Caenorhabditis elegans. Lineage: Eukaryota; Metazoa; Nematoda; Chromadorea; Rhabditida; Rhabditidae. The record is from RNAcentral.
UGAUUUUUCAGAUCUAAAUUG